Molecule: ribosomal RNA, 467 nt
Filed under: uncultured bacterium
Lineage: Bacteria
Description: partial 16S ribosomal RNA
Rfam family: Bacterial small subunit ribosomal RNA
Source: RNAcentral
GACGAACGCUGGCGGCGUGCUUAACACAUGCAAGUCGAACGGAAAGGCCUCUUUCGGGGGGUACUCGAGUGGCGAACGGGUGAGUAACACGUGAGUAACCUGCCCUUGACUUUGGGAUAACUUCAGGAAACUGGGGCUAAUACCGGAUAGGAGCUCCUGCUGCAUGGUGGGGGUUGGAAAGUUUCGGCGGUUGGGGAUGGACUCGCGGCUUAUCAGCUUGUUGGUGGGGUAGUGGCUUACCAAGGCUUUGACGGGUAGCCGGCCUGAGAGGGUGACCGGCCACAUUGGGACUGAGAUACGGCCCAGACUCCUAAGGGAGGCAGCAGUGGGGAAUAUUGCACAAUGGGUGGAAGCCUGAUGCAGCAACGCCGUGUGCGGGAUGACGGCCUUCGGGUUGUAAACCGCUUUCGCUCAUGACGAAGCUUUGUGUGACGGUAGUGGGUAAAGAAGCACCGGCUAACUACGUG